GACGUAGGUGGCGAGCGUUAUCCGGAAUUACUGGGCGUAAAGCGUGCGCAGGCGGUUAUGCAAGACAGAGGUGAAAUCCCCGGGCUCAACCUGGGAACUGCCUUUGUGACUGCAUAGCUAGAGUACGGUAGAGGGGGAUGGAAUUCCGCGUGUGGCAGUGAAAUGCGUAGAUAUGCGGAGGAACACCGAUGGCGAAGGCAAUCCCCUGGACCUGUACUGACGCUCAUGCACGAAAGCGUGGGGAGCAAACAGG
This 253-nucleotide ribosomal RNA is filed under the name uncultured bacterium. Its description in RNAcentral is "partial 16S ribosomal RNA". It matches the Rfam family "Bacterial small subunit ribosomal RNA", at positions 524 to 776 of the family's 1533-position model. The record is from RNAcentral.